AACGAACGCUGGCGGCAUGCCUAACACAUGCCAGUCGAACGAGACCUUCGGGUCUAGUGGCGCAUGGGUGCGUCACGCGUGGGAACCUGCCCUUAGGUUCGGAAUAACUCCCCGACAGGGGUGCUAAUACCGGAUAAUGUCUUCGGACCAAAGAUUUAUCGCCUUUGGAUGGGCCCGCGUUGGAUUAGCUAGUUGGUAGGGUAAAAGCCUACCAAGGCGACGAUCCAUAGCUGGUCUGAGAGGAUGAUCAGCCACACUGGGACUGAGACACGGCCCAGACUCCUACGGGAGGCAGCAGUGGGGAAUAUUGGACAAUGGGCGAGAGCCUGAUCCAGCAAUGCCGCGUGAGUGAUGAAGGCCUUAGGGUAGUAAAGCUCUUUUACCCGGGAUGAUAAUGACAGUACCGGGAGAAUAAGCUCCGGCUAACUCCGUG
This 433-nucleotide ribosomal RNA is filed under the name uncultured bacterium. RNAcentral describes it as "partial 16S ribosomal RNA". It matches the Rfam family "Bacterial small subunit ribosomal RNA", at positions 29 to 507 of the family's 1533-position model. The record is from RNAcentral.